AUUUAUACAUAUACAUACAUAUAUAUAUAUAUGGGCUUUUCACAUCUUUUUGUGAAACUUGGCUUUGAUAGCAUGAACACAAGGAGAGUACUUAUAUGGCUUUCAUGCCUGUCCUGUUCUGAAAGAAAAACAAUACAGCUUUUCAUACUUGGCAGCACUGUAUCAGGUAUGACAGUGUAUAUUUCCACUUACAUUAUAAUUCAGAGGUCCUUCCUCUUCUUGGAAGUUCCUGGGAUGCUCAGGCUCUUAGAACUUGUUCCAGGAGUCUCCUUGAAUGGAUUUGAUUGCUUUUCAGAGCUGCUUUAGUUAGUCUUUUUCUCUUCUCCUUAAUUCAUAGUCCUUGGAAACCAAAAGAGCCACAAGCCUCUGAUGUUACCUGAUCUUCACACACAGUCCUAGUGAUGAACCGCAUCAACCAGUUCUUAAGUUCAGGUGUUCAGUACUUACAGUGAUUGCUUCAGACGCUUCACACUGCUCCCUCUGGAGCAUGACUAGUUCCUUUUUUCUUCCUUGCUACUCGCAUAGGCAAUUAAAAUUCAGACCACUUUUUCUGUCUCGGCUGCAUCCACCUCCUUUACCUCUGUAUGACGUACCCAUUGUGGUGUUCACCAAGCCUUCCUAAACUUUCAUAGUGGCCUACAUCCUAAACCAGCACCUGACAGUCGACACCUUCACCACACCAAAGCAUUAGCAGCCACUUUUGUAAUCCCUUUGGAAUGCAGCGGUCAUGGUUCCUAUGUGACUAAUGACUUAAUAGUGUCACAGGUGUUUUUCCUAGCUCAGUUCCACCCACCUAUCAUCCAAAAUGGUCAAAAUAUUUUAUUCCUUCUUUUCCUUAUUUUCGUGGCCUUGGAAUUGCUGUCGGUUUUCCAGCUUUCCAGUGUAAACCUAAACUUACAUUUUUCUUGCCUUCUCAAUAAUUUGUUGUUUGAGUAUUUUGUUAUCCUGACCUCAGAUUAGCCUUACUGCACCUUAAACUCAUAUUGUUGCUAGUCUUUUCUAGAAAGUGUAAGUUCCACAAAAACAUUGCAGAAUCCUAUCUAUGAGUCUGUAUCCCAGUAGGCAUGCAUGUAAUUAGAUGUGUUUACUUUAUGCACAUUUGAAAUCUUGCAAAGGAAGGGUGUUGCCUUUCUAUGAUUCCCCUAGAGGUCCAGUUGACCAGAUUCUGCCAUUUCUGCUAGUGCUUUCACUCAUUUAAUAAGAAGUUGAAAUUCUAAGUUAAAGUCUGUCCAUGUGCUUGAACUUCCCUCAUUUAGUCUAUGUGGUGAGAGCUCUUAGUUCUCACAGGUUUUAAGGAACAUCAAGAGAAAAUCUGUGGGCUGCUUUUACAACUUCUCUGUAGCCAUGUAAUUAGAUAGCCAGUAUGAUGUACUGAUGUCAUGUGUCUGGUAUGGAAAACUAGAAGGCUGCUGCUGUGUGCCCCUCAAGUACUUUUUCAGUGUAUAGGGGCAAGGUGGGUUCUGCAGUCCAAAGUACAAUAGAGCAGUAGUGCGACUUCUCAUUCACUUCAUCUACACAGAUCAUUUUUCAGUCAGAGAUUGACUUACUGUUGCAUAAUUAUCACCCAUAAAGCAAAUCACUCAAUGGGCUACACCUAGCUCUCUUGUUCCUGGAAUCUUGCUUUUAGCUUCUGCUUCCCCACAAACUACUUAAUCACCUGCCAGUUAGAGUUGCAUUGAAGGAACAUCUAUUCUUACGCAUACUGUUUAGCAACAGGAAUUCAAGAUGUGGAAUUCAUAAGCUAGGUUAAUUAUACAAUUUUUAAAUGAAGGCUAAGUCUAUUAAGACACGCCUUUUUACUACCAUUUUUGGCCCUCACAACACCCAAACAAAUUUGGAUGCAUUCUUCGUUUACACCAGUUUUUUCCUGCUUGUGAUCUGCACCUAUCUACCAUUAAAAGUUUAACUAAGAUAUACUGAGCUUGAUCUCAAUAUUAACUGGAUUCUGUAUUUAAUAUAUUAUUUGCUAGUGGAGAUGGCUUCCUAACAUGCAAACUAUCAUGAAAAAUUCUAAUUUUUCCAGAGUUAAAAUACCUCCUGACCUAAGAUUACUCUCCCUCUGAUUUCCAGAGAGUAUCAGUGAGAACAAAUAGCAGCAUGUAAAAAGAACCUCAUAUGCUGUGAGCUGGGUGAUUAUCCUAACACGUUUGCCAAGUUGCUCUCAUGUUGGACAGCAUCCAAAUUGCUUCAGAACAUUUUCUGUGCCACACUUGGCCACUGUGAUUUGGCAGAAAAGACAAAUGUCAUGAUGCUUACUCAUUAUUGCCAAAAAGACUGGGCAAAAUCAUGUAAAACAUGCACUUAAUCCUGGUUACUUUCUAGUGUCGUGAUGGCAAUGAAGGGAAACACCACUAUGCAAUUGCACUGUAUAAAGCCUUUAAUGUGUAAAAAUGUGUUUAUGUUUCUGUAGAAACAGCCAAAGACAGAAGUAAUGAUUUCCAAAGAAAAGCAGACUAAAGUCAAACAAGUCAUGGAAGUUGCAGGAUCAUAAUUCCAGUACAUACAGUCUGCAUUCACUUCUGCAAAUACAAACGGACAGUCGUAGUCCAGAUCUACAUCUCCUUCUUUGACGGCAUUCCUUGAGGCAGGACCACACUGAUAAAUUCCUAUGGCAUCAAGAAAAUAUACCUUAGAACUAAUCAAUGGUUUUACACACUACUCCUGGAAUGAAAUCUGUGUACCUCCACUCUCUUCUUGGGGAGUUGCAUCCAGAAUUUGCCAUCCACUGUAUGAAGGGCCCAAGUCACUGCGGGAAAACCAGCUUUCAUUCCAGACGUGGAAAUUCCUACAUUCAAGAAUGAAUAAAGUAAACCAGUGAUUUGCUACCUCUGAAUAAGAAAUGAAGAAUGAUCCAAAGAAUGUUUCUGCAUUUUCAAUUGUGAUGAGUUCCCUAGCCCUGCUGAUGUUACAUGUACCUCUGAUGUGGGAUGGGAAAUCUCAGUGUUGCAGAAAGACUGAAAAAAUGCAGAGUGAAACCAAGUGCACAUCACAAAGAGCCUGGAGAUGCUGAGCAACUGAAGCUCUUUUCUACACCUGCGGUCGCUCCUGUUACUGCCCUUUGGGUUCUCACCAGCUGGAUCCCAUCUCUCUUGAUGAACCCAAAACUGAAUGCAGGACUUCAGCUGAAGCUUUACCAGCGGGGAAGGUGAGGUUUAUUUUGUGUGUCUGACACACAACUUUUCUAUUAAUGAAUUCCAGCAGACACAAUGUCCUUUUGGCCAUCAGGACAUUGAGGAGAUGAAGGCUUUAUAAGUGCACAGGUGAACACAUGACUGAAAUGGCAACGAAUGGAGUGUGCAGCCCUUUGUGUGUGACCUGUUGGAGUCCCAAAAGGCAGGAAUGGUGCCAGCUUUGCUGCAGCAUAAACCCCCAGCAAGUGCAGCGUGAGAGGGGCCAACAACCACCUGGAAAAUUCCAAUCUGAGCAGUUUUAAUGAUGGCAAAAGCUGACUACAAAAGACGUCUGUUGCAAAAACAGGAGCCAACAGUUCUGAACCAACAGUUUGCUGGCUGUGGAUUUAUUUUUCUCCUAUAAAUGCCUUCAGAUUUGGAGCUGAAAGACUUUAAGGGACCAACACUGACAGCAGGGCUGUCUGCUAAGUGACCUCAGGGCAGUGACCCUAACGUUGUGCUCAGUGUCUCACUCUGCUCCCAUUGUGGCUGCAGUGGGAUGUGUGCCAUCCCAUGGCUCCCUGGGGGUCUCUUGGUGGCAGCAGAAGAGCUGAACCAUCCACAAGCCAUUGUUAUGGAAGUUUAAAGCCAAUUCAGCUUUUGUUACAGGGUACCAGCUUGUUUUUAUUACUCAGAAAAGCAAUGUAUUUGUUUGAAAACUGUGCUUUGAAUAGCCCAUCUCUAUUUGAAUCACCUGUCUGCAGUGUUCCUCAGCUGCUGGCAGUGCCAGCAUCUCCCCCCAGAGGUGGCACAGCCACAGGAGGAGGCACAUCUCCACAUUCCUUGUUCCAUGGCAUGAAGCGUGGUACUGAAAAUGUGCAAGAGGUGAAGAAGCUUCCAGCAAAUGAACAAGGACAACAGCUGCUUGUUCUUUGCAUCUGACAGCAGAGAAGUUUGGGAGUGUACCGGGAAUUCCUGAUGUGCUGGGGUUUAAUGGCUGAAGUGAAGCCCUUUUAAACUUUGCAUUACAAGGGCUGGGGUUUUAAUGUUUAAUGUGCUAAGAAAGACAAAGGCAGGUAGCUGACACCUCCCUUGAAAUAAGAAUCUCUAUAAUGGUAAUCCUGAAGAAUCCCUGUUACUGUUAUUGCUUUGGUUGGUGGGAUGGCAUAGCACAAAUGCUGAGAAUGGGGAGUGCAGCCUCAUUUGUCAGGUACUGUAUGAAUCUGAGGGUUGGAAGAUUGCAGUUGGAGAGAUGAGAGCAUCAGGAGCAUCAGUGCUGAAGUGCCUCUGAACACAGCAACCAUCCCCAGCUGGUGGCAGGUACGACCUGUGUCAAAUAAGGCAUUUUGUAGCUGAAACAGAUGAUUUCUGGCUGCCACAGGUGCAGCUGGGUCCAGCUGAGUGUCCCUCCAGGCCUGGUGGGGGUGCAGGUGGUGACUCCCAGACAGAUCUGCCCUUCUCACAGAGGAGGGCCAAUGGGUUUUAUGGGAAAGCUGCGUUGUGGUUGCUUGUCACAGAUGAAGCAAUUACCAAAACUCUUAAUUCUGUGUCAUGGUGAGGAGUUUAGAUAGCAAAAAGCUUUUUAGAGCACUCUAUUGCUAGGAGUUCAGAAAUGGGAGUAAACCUCCUUUUCUAAGUAGUUGCACUGCUUGGAUAUUUAACCACAACAGAAGAUGGCAGUCUCAAGAGAGCAAGGGUGGUUGGGGCAGGUGUUGCAUUAAGGGUUUUGCUGUAAGUCUUUUGGGAACCUGGGUGCCCAAAUCUGAAGCAAUUUGUGGUAGGGAAUGGAUUCAGCCAUACCAAUGAGGGACUUCAGUCAGGGUCCUUAUAUAGCCCUGCUCUGUUCUCCCUGUGGGUACUGCUCUGCUCUCAGCAUCUUCCUCCUCUCCCACAGAGCUCAUUUGGGGUGGGUUUCUGCUGUGUUGUUGUGUUGUAGGAUUACAUCCAGGUUGCUCGUUUUGGUUAGUGAGUGCUGGGAGUUAACAGGGAAAGGGCAGGCUGAGGAGAGUCUUUCAAUGAGGAGAGCUCAUUGAAAUGCAUGGGGAGUGGUUCUGUCCCAUGUGAAGUUUAAUCCGAGAAAGCCUUCAAGAAUGGCUUAAUGCAGCCUUCUGCAUCGCCCACAAACACUUCGGGGAAAAACAGGGAAGGAGAAGAGUGUUAGAUAAGCUGCUUUAAAGUGAUCUUCAUAAUCCUGAGAAUUAAAGUGUAUUCUAUUAGAUACAUGUUACAGAUGCAAAAUAACCCAGUAAGGCUGGAAGUGACCCUUCCCAUGGGCGAUUCAUGGGAUUUCUGCAGCUGUACCCAAGCAUCACCAAAAUCAGAGCUCCCCCUGCUCCCAGGGGAGGUCAGCCCCCAGUCCUGGCCAUGGCAUUAAAUAUCUGCUUGGAAGUAGAUCUGAGGGCUGUCCUUGUGUUACUCUGCAGCCAUAGGCACAAUGCUUUCUGACCCCUAUCCAUCUCCAGCAUUAAUUACUGUUGAACGGCCAAAAACAAAGGAAGAAGAAGGGUGUUUCCUCAAAGCUGAAGGCAAAUGCGAGCAGGGAGUGGCCAAGUCAGGCUGGCUUCAUUCAGGGUUUUCAGCUCUUACUGCAAGAUCUUCGAAAAAGGGGAAAAAAAAGAAGAGAAACAAGAAGUUCAGUGUGUUGGUGGCACCACCAGCAUUGCCCUACCUGGGGUGUUUGAGCCUAGUUACAGUUGUUGCUGGGGGAGCCCCUGAGCAGACCGUUCCACUGCACACAAUGGUGAUGAGGCAGAGUCCUGGCAGGAAUCACCGAGGGAUAUUUCUUAAGAUUUAGAAUGCAUUUUGCUGCUCAUUCAUCCUCCAUCCCACACAGCUUUUGGCAGGUUGCAUUAAUCCUUCUGUCUCAGUUUCCUUCAGUGUGAGAGGGGAUGUUGUGGUGUUGCCUCCCAGGAUCCAUCUGAAAUUGCUCUCAGGCUGCAGCAUCCUUUCAGACUCUGUGUAUGUGGGAACAGAGCAGUUCUCACUCGUAGGAGCCCUGUGUGAAUGGCACAGAUGGGUGCUUGGUCACCCCUGUGAGAGGUCACUGUACCACCUCACAGCUGACUGAUGUGGUUCUGACCUGGUGGAUGCUGGGUGAUGAAUAGGAGCCACCAGCCCUUGGGGGCCUAAUAAAUCCCCGGCUGCUGAAUAAUACAGCAAGGCAAAUUGCUUUACAGAAUCCAGUGCUUAAAGCUAAAUGUUAGAUAACAUAUUACAGGAAGCUACUUGUGCCUCUGUGCCAGCUCUGCCCAAACAGCACAACAGGGGAAGUUAAAGAAUUCCUACAGCCCCUACGUAGAAUCAUAGAAUCACGGGAGUCAGAAGGGAGCUUUAAAGUUCUUCUGGUCCAACCUCCCUGCAAUGAACAGGGACAUGUGCAUGGGGUUUGGGGAAAGCAGUAUCCUCAGGGGAGCAAGCGCUGCUUUGAGAUAGGAUCCCAGAGAUUUGAUCUAUGGUAUUGAUAGGUAGGAAAAAAAGUUCAUUUCUCAAAUCAUUUUACAAAUUCCCUAGAAGAGGGGUGAUGGGGCAAAUCACUCUUUUGGGAGCAUUUGUUCAUCAGCCAGUAGAAAAGUCUAUGUGUUUUUCCUUUAUGAAAUAACUACCUUUGGCUUUAGACCUGAUGUGAAUGAGGCAGGUGUGGAUGGUGGUGGUGUUUUGCACACCCACUCACCUUAGGGAAUGGGUUGGCCCCCAGGCUCAUCUCCUACAGAAAGGGAGACCAGAGUGGGUCUGGCAGAGCCAUCCCCAGGAAGAGGAGCAGUGAUGUGUGUGCUUGCGGUCAGUGAGCACAGAGAGGCUACUUAAUGGAUGCAGGGGUGGAAAUGCAUAUCCUGGGAAGGGCAGAAUACUGGAGCCAGAGGGAUAGCUCUGAGUGUUCUUUGUGGGAAUCUGAACCACACAGUUCCCUGGUAACCCAUUUGUAUUGGCGUGUUUCCUAUCCAAAUUUGGGUGAGCUGAAAGCUUCAGGUCCUCUUAGGAUCUGGUGCCCAUGUGGCUACUCUGCCCCUAGAUACAAGAGGGUUGCCCUCACCUGUUCUUUUUUCAUCCAAAUUUGAGCCUGCAGAGACUCUUCCCUUUGCCAAAGAUUGUUUGCUCUCUAUUCCUGGUCCCCGCUGAGACCUCUCUGCCCUUCUCCCCUUCACCUCUUGCAACCAGCCCAGCAGUUCAGCCCUCCCACAUCCUUCAGUGCCUCUCUGAGGACCUCAGAAUUCUGGCAGAGGCUCUGUUAUUUGCACCAACUGCUACGGACUUUAAAAUGUAAAUGAACAACUUGGGAAUGGCUUUCUUAUCCCAUAGUGUGAGAAAGAGCUGGAGUAGUAGAGGGUAUGCUGGGGAACAAGCCUAGGGCCAGGAGAACAGCAACCAAACCUGCCCAAUGCAGCAGAGCCUGCACCCCCUCAGCACCGUGAGCUGCAGCUUCAGCUGAAACCCUCCCAGGGCAGAUUUCACAACAGAGAAUGUAACAAUGAUGGAGCCCAGCUGUUGCUGACAUUGAGAUCCAGGCUCUGCUUGGCUUUUCUAAGGAGGGCAUGACACUUAAGUUUCAUUUUUGGACUGUGUUUUGCUAGUUGCUUCCAGCAUUUUUCCCUGGUAUUCCACUCUUUUCAUGCUCUUGGGCUCUCAGUAGUUCAACCACUCUGCACCAUUCGUCUCGGUUCCUUCUGCACUUUUCAACGCUUGUUACAGGCCUCUGCCAAGAAACCUGAUAAUUUUCUUUCCCAUUUAAGGAAAAGGAUUUUGGACUAUAAAAGAAAUCUCCAUUAUAUCUUAAAGUGUUUCUACACCGGAAAGAAAAUCCCUGGAAACUAGGGGAAUCCUUAAAGGGACAUAAUAGGAAGCACUGGAACUGAGACAGCUCGUUGCAUGACAGUCUUUCCCACUCACAAGAACAAGCACAGGGCCCCGGGGCUGUGAGAACAAUAUGGGUUAUUGUUACAACUUCUAACUCAAUUUAGGAUAUGAAAACCAGCAUCCCUCAGCAUCAGGAACCAGCCAAAACUCAUGAGCCACCAAAGCUGCUGUGCCGCUCUCUGCUGGAAGCCCAUUGUUCCAAAUGCCAUUACUGUGACAGCUGCAGGCUUGUUUAUGUGCAAGGAGCCUUUCUUUCUCACAGCCAUUAGUUCACUGUGACCAGUCCAGUGAUGUGAAUCAGACUCGUCUCCUGCUUCAAAGGAUGGACAGGAGAUGCCUUACUGCUGUGCAGUGUGGGUGUUUGUGAAGAUGUGAUGCUUUUCUUUAUGCAGGCAGAGGAGGCACUGCAGAGGGAUACUGUCACAUCUAGGCUCAGCCUGCUUUGCUGUCAUAAAAUCACAGAAUUGUCGUGGUUGGAAAAGGCCACUAAGAUCAUCUAGUCCAGCCAUCAACCCAUCACCACCACCAUUUGUUGUAUGGCCGUGUUGUGGUCAUGCUGUGGUCUGCGAAACAGUGCCUUCCGCACUCUUCUGCAUGACAAGUUAAAUUCAAGCCUGUAUAUAGCACUGCUUAUGAGCCCAGGGGAGCAUAUUUGUGUCAUACUCUGUGCAUUUCCCCUUAAGUACUUGAGGUUUAAAGUAUUUCCUUGUCAAUAACAGCUAUAAUACGCAGAGAGGAAGAGGGUUUGCCAUGGGCUACAUUCAGGCAUUUGGCUGGCUCCAUUGGCCGUGGAAAUAACAAACCAUAAAUAAAGUUUGGAGAAGCUCGUGGUACAAAAAUAUCAAUCAAAAGGAAUAUCUAAAGCAUAAGCGGGUUAGAUAACCUUGGAGAAGAGAAAGCAGACAGCACAUUUCUGCAUCCUCAGGCCUGCGCCGCCCCUUGCUGACAAGCUCGCCAGCCGUGGAACAAGAAGUGCUGCAGAGAAUGGACAUCCUGGGGCUGGGAAUGUUCUCUCCUCUCAUCCAGUCCCUUGGAUCACCCCAGGCACAGCCAUCUGCAGGGCACCCUCCUGCAGUUCUACCUGAGGCUCGAGCAUAAUCCUUCAUACUGGCAAGGAGGAUAUGGAAGGGUGAACAAUGUGGGAGCAGUGCCUUCAUGCUGCCCUUUUGUGUCCCCUCUCCAUGGCUGGUUCCCCGGCCUCUUGCCAGACCAUGUGAGUGACAUGGGCAGUGUAGCAAGAGUGAUGUGGAAAGAUACAAAUGCCUUGCAAAUAAAAAUGAAUUGCUUCUCU
Non-coding RNA from Coturnix japonica (Japanese quail), 9252 nucleotides. The record is from RefSeq and is a predicted model, not a curated record. NCBI's taxonomy places the organism in Eukaryota, Metazoa, Chordata, Aves, Galliformes, Phasianidae.